AGCCCCGUCGUCUAGCGGUCCCUUAUAUUAAGCCGCAAAAGGAUAGGGCCCUCUGGAGGCUCUGGCGGCAGUUCGAAUCUGCCCGGGGCUA
Molecule: transfer RNA, 91 nt
Filed under: Candidatus Woesearchaeota archaeon
Lineage: Archaea; Nanobdellati; Candidatus Woesearchaeota
Description: tRNA-Gln
Source: RNAcentral